Molecule: long non-coding RNA, 893 nt
Filed under: Rattus norvegicus (Norway rat)
Lineage: Eukaryota; Metazoa; Chordata; Mammalia; Rodentia; Muridae
Description: long non-coding RNA NONRATT000744
Source: RNAcentral
GGCAGUACCACCACCCUCCCCAGGAUGGGUGUGGUGUGGACUGUCACCAUGGACUGGCACUACUUGAUUUUUCGGUGGCCAUUGCAAUCUCUAAUAUGUGGGAGUCUGACUGUUCUAAGCUAACAUUAAAUAAAAGCUAAAUCCACAAAAUCCAUGUGAGGGACAGUUACUGAUUUUUAUACCCUUUGCCUCCUCCAUUCUUAUCUGCUAAGUCUUUAAAUCACUGCUCCUUUGUUUUACUUUCUAUCUGGAGUUGAGCCUGUGGAUUUUGCCCUCUGGCUUUUCUCUGGAAAUUUUCUUUUUCAUGGGUAACAGUGGGAGGAGACAAAAAGUUAAACAGAUUUAAAAAAAAAAUUCUGUAAGUGGCCUUAUCAUUGUAACAUGUUAAAAGAAAACAAACGUUUGCAAAGACCUUAUCCCUUUCAAUACUUCAGGUAUCUCUCUCUCUGUAUCCUGUAACUCAAGAUGUAAAUGCCACAUAUAUACAAGGAACUCCACAAUGCAGCAGUGUGGCAGAAACAGUCAGAGACGGAUAAUUUAUUAUACUCAGAACUGUGACUUUUUUUUUUCUGGGGAAGUGACUCAGCUUUUUUGAUGCAUAGUUGAGAUACCCACAUAUCAAGGCAGAGACCCCACAGGGCUCAGAAGAGCAGCAGUGCACUCCCGGGGAAUCUCUGGAUAUAAAUUUGCAUGGUGUAGUCAUAAUAGCUUUUGAGCUUUUUAUAUGCAUUUGGCACCGAGACUGGGAUCCACAACUUUAUAGACACUGCAAUGAAGUUACCAUAGUAGCUAGAUUCUAAGUAGUAUUUGUAAUUACACACACACAUACAUACAUACACACACACAUACACACACAUACACAAAUACAUACUGUAUUCUGUAAAAAAAAAAAA